Panthera uncia (snow leopard) is the source of this 276-nucleotide long non-coding RNA. RefSeq lists it as uncharacterized. The transcript is spliced from 2 exons. Lineage: Eukaryota; Metazoa; Chordata; Mammalia; Carnivora; Felidae. The record is from RefSeq and is a predicted model, not a curated record.
ACAGUCGGCCGAACCCUUAGGGUUGCUGGAGCCCAGGGCGCGGGGGAGCGCCGCGCACGCGGGCAGCUUUGUUCUCCGCAGAAACAGCAUCGAUUACAAGGGGAAACGGCCGGGGCAGGAAACAGGCGCGACCCGGGAGUAUGCGGGUCGCCUCCCUCGGAGCUCGGCGACUGAACGUCGGAGCCGGCCCUUGGCCCCCCCUGCAGUCGGAAGGUUACAGCAGCGGGAGCCAGAGAGGCGGUGGCGGCGGCCCAGGAAGGAGCAGCAGCGCCCGGG